This 617-nucleotide ribosomal RNA is filed under the name Terfezia boudieri. RNAcentral describes it as "eukaryotic LSU rRNA". The stretch from base 222 to 375 matches the Rfam family "5.8S ribosomal RNA". Lineage: Eukaryota; Fungi; Ascomycota; Pezizomycetes; Pezizales; Pezizaceae. The record is from RNAcentral.
GAAGGAUCAUUACUGAAAAAGGUGCGGUCAUUUUAAAGUUUUUUAUAUCCCAUUGUUUACUUACCCUGUUGCUUUCACUGGACAGAUUUCACCUUGUGUGGGUCCUUUGGCUUGUGUGAAAUACCACUUGCCAAAGAGUUGCCAUUGGUAAGACCUAUUUAUCAAAACUUGAGUUUCAAUAAACACAACUGUCUGAAUAUUUUUUUUCUUUAAUGAAAUAAAACUUUCAACAACGGAUCUCUAGGCUCUUGCAUCGAUGAAGAACGCAGUGAAAUGCGAUAAGUAAUGUGAAUUGCAGAAUCUCGUGAAUCAUUGAAUCUUUGAACGCACAUUGCGCCCUAUGGUAUUCCAUUGGGCAUGCCUGUCUGAGCGUCAGCUCCCCCUCCACUCAAGAAUCAUUUUAUAUGAUACUUGGAUUACUUUGGAGAUGUAACUGUAUAUUAAGUUGCCCUCCAGAAAUUUAUUGGCAGUAUGGUUUGUACUUGGACCAGACGUAAUAGUAAUAAAAUUGUUUGCUUUGGGUAUAAUUGAUUGUACUUGCCUUAACCCCCACCCAUUUUUAUUUUGGGUGACCUCAGAUCAUGUCGGAAGAUAGCCCGCUGAACUUAAGCAUAUCA